UCAUUACUGAGUUACAAACUCCAAACCUUUGUGAACCUUACCACAGUUGCUUCGGCGGCCCCGCCCCGGGCGCCUCGGGAACCCCUCCGGGGGCUACCGUGGCGACCCGGACCCAGGCGACCGCCGGGGGACCCAAACUCUUGUCUUUUAGUGUAUUAUCUGAGUGGCAUAAGCAAAAUAAAUCAAAACUUUCAGCAACGGAUCUCUUGGUUCUGGCAUCGAUGAAGAACGCAGCGAAAUGCGAUAAGUAAUGUGAAUUGCAGAAUUCAGUGAAUCAUCGAAUCUUUGAACGCACAUUGCGCCCGCCAGUACUCUGGCGGGCAUGCCUGUCCGAGCGUCAUUUCAACCCUCAGCACCCCCGUCCGCGGCGGGAGCUGGCGUUGGGGAUCGGCCGUCCUCCGCGGCGGCCGGCCCCGAAACGAAUUGGCGGUCACGUCGCGACCUCCUCUGCGUAGUAGCAAUAUCUCGCAGCCUGGAUAGCGGCGCGGCCACGCCGUAAAACCCCAACUAUACCAAGGUUGACCUCGGAUC
Molecule: ribosomal RNA, 531 nt
Filed under: Geosmithia obscura
Lineage: Eukaryota; Fungi; Ascomycota; Sordariomycetes; Hypocreales; Bionectriaceae
Description: eukaryotic LSU rRNA
Rfam family: 5.8S ribosomal RNA (bases 187-340)
Source: RNAcentral